CGAAAGCCUGACGGAGCAAUACCGCGUGAGGGAGGAAGGCUUUUGGGUUGUAAACCUCUUUUGUUAAGGAAGAAGAAAGUGACGGUACUUAACGAAUCAGCAUCGGCUAACUCCGUGCCAGCAGCCGCGGUAAUACGGAGGAUGCAAGCGUUAUCCGGAAUUAUUGGGCGUAAAGGGUCCGCAGGUGGUGGGGCAAGUCGGCGGUUAAAGACUGGGGCUUAACUCCAGAAAGGCCGUGGAAACUGCACCACUAGAGGGCAGUAGGGGUAGAGGGAAUUCCCGGUGUAGCGGUGAAAUGCGUAGAUAUCGGGAAGAACACCAGUGGCGAAGGCGCUCAACUGGGCCGUAACUGACACUCAGGGACGAAAGCUAGGGGAGCG
RNAcentral lists this ribosomal RNA (380 nucleotides) under uncultured cyanobacterium. RNAcentral describes it as "bacterial SSU rRNA". It matches the Rfam family "Bacterial small subunit ribosomal RNA", at positions 376 to 770 of the family's 1533-position model. Lineage: Bacteria; Bacillati; Cyanobacteriota. The record is from RNAcentral.